ACCGCCCUCUCAAUUUUUUUCCAUUUUUAUUGGGCCUAAAGCGUUCGUAGCCGGUUUUAUAAUUCUCUUUUUAAAUCCCUCAGCUUAACUGUGGGACUUGCUGGAGAUACUAUUAGACUUGAGGUCGGGAGAGGUUAGGGGUACUCCCAGGGUAGGGGUGAAAUCCUAUAAUCCUGGGAGGACCACCUGUGGCGAAGGCGCCUAACUGGAACGAACCUGACGGUGAGUAACGAAAGCCAGGGGCGCGAACCG
This 252-nucleotide ribosomal RNA is filed under the name uncultured prokaryote. RNAcentral's name for it is "partial 16S rRNA". It matches the Rfam family "Archaeal small subunit ribosomal RNA", at positions 475 to 726 of the family's 1478-position model. The record is from RNAcentral.